UGAUGACUUACUAUUUACCCACCAAAUCCA
This 30-nucleotide non-coding RNA is filed under the name Mus musculus (house mouse). Lineage: Eukaryota; Metazoa; Chordata; Mammalia; Rodentia; Muridae. The record is from RNAcentral.